UUUAGUUUGUUUUCAUUUUUGUUUUUAUCCCAUGUUUGUUUUUAGUUUUUUUCCUUUUUCUAUUAUUAUUACUAUUACUAUUAUUAUUACUACCUAUUCUAAUACUAACAUGCAGUACCUUUUUACUAAUAGUAUGACCUUUUUUUACUUUCAGGAUAACAUAACUUAUCACUAACUUAGGAAUAUGGAGCACGUUGACGAUAUGGAGGUUAUAUUUAGGAACGAAAAUCAGAGGCGUUGUUUUGACAUGUUAGCACAGAGGGAGAUGUCACUUUCU
Molecule: long non-coding RNA, 277 nt
Filed under: Lathyrus oleraceus (garden pea)
Lineage: Eukaryota; Viridiplantae; Streptophyta; Magnoliopsida; Fabales; Fabaceae
Description: Pisum sativum (pea) long non-coding RNA (PSAT_LNC030268)
Source: RNAcentral